GUGUUCACUUUGUUAGCACAUAUACUACAACCAGAAUGACACAGAGAAGAUUAGCAUAGCCUAUGUGCAAGAAAAAAAAAAAAAAAGGAGAAUAAUAAAGGUGACUG
Small nuclear RNA from Hyaena hyaena (striped hyena), 107 nucleotides. The record is from RefSeq and is a predicted model, not a curated record. NCBI's taxonomy places the organism in Eukaryota, Metazoa, Chordata, Mammalia, Carnivora, Hyaenidae.